Molecule: ribosomal RNA, 254 nt
Filed under: uncultured bacterium
Lineage: Bacteria
Description: partial 16S ribosomal RNA
Rfam family: Bacterial small subunit ribosomal RNA
Source: RNAcentral
UACGUAGGGUGCGAGCGUUGUCCGGAAUUAUUGGGCGUAAAGAGCUCGUAGGCGGUGUGUCACGUCGAUCGUGAAAACUUGGGGCUUAACUCUGAGCUUGCGGUCGAUACGGGCAUCACUGGAGUUCGGCAGGGGAGACUGGAAUUCCUGGUGUAGCGGUGAAAUGCGCAGAUAUCAGGAAGAACACCCGUGGCGAAGGCGGCUCUCUGGGACGGUACUGACGCUGAGACGCGAAAGCGUGGGGAGCGAACAGG